GUGGGGAAUUUUGGACAAUGGGCGCAAGCCUGAUCCAGCAAUGCCGCGUGUGUGAAGAAGGCCUUCGGGUUGUAAAGCACUUUUGGCAGGAAAGAAAUAGUGCGUGCUAAUACCAUGCGCGAAUGACGGUACCUGCAGAAUAAGCACCGGCUAACUACGUGCCAGCAGCCGCGGUAAGACGUAGGGUGCAAGCGUUAAUCGGAAUUACUGGGCGUAAAGCGUGCGCAGGCGGUUUUGUAAGACAGGUGUGAAAUCCCCGGGCUCAACCUGGGAACUGCACUGGUGACUGCAAGGCUAGAGUGUGUCAGAGGGAGGUGGAAUUCCGCGUGUAGCAGUGAAAUGCGUAGAGAUGCGGAGGAACACCGAUGGCGAAGGCAGCCUCCUGGGAUAACACUGACGCUCAGGCACGAAAGCGUGGGGAACAAACAGGAUUAGAAACCCCUGUAGUCC
RNAcentral lists this ribosomal RNA (450 nucleotides) under uncultured bacterium. Its description in RNAcentral is "bacterial SSU rRNA". It matches the Rfam family "Bacterial small subunit ribosomal RNA", at positions 354 to 796 of the family's 1533-position model. The record is from RNAcentral.